Molecule: transfer RNA, 73 nt
Filed under: Cordylochernes scorpioides
Lineage: Eukaryota; Metazoa; Arthropoda; Arachnida; Pseudoscorpiones; Chernetidae
Description: tRNA-Arg
Rfam family: tRNA
About the family: Transfer RNA (tRNA) molecules are approximately 80 nucleotides in length. Their secondary structure includes four short double-helical elements and three loops (D, anti-codon, and T loops).
Source: RNAcentral
GCCUCCGUGUCCUAAUGGAUAAGGCAUCGGUCUCCUAAACCGGGGAUUGCGGGUUCGAGUCCCGCCGGGGGUA